UGGCUGAGUUUGCAAGCAGAAGCACCUGAUUGGGCAGUGGGGAUUCCAUAUGCAGAGUUUGCAAGCAGAAGCACCUGAUUGGGCAGUGGGGAUUCCCUAUGCAGAUAAGGAGGAGGGGCCUGUGAUGGUUAAGGUCAGUUGGAAUGCAGCUGUUACUGGUCGGAAGAUGUUCUUGAUAUAAAAGGAUAGCAGGCAGGGGUCUGCAAAAAGACAGGUCGUGAGGGAGGAAAGAGCCCCUUCAGGAGAAGGAGGAUGCCAUUGUUGUGAAGAUUUGGUCCUGCUGUCAUUGCAUUGAUUUGAUCUUCAGGAAUGUAGCAUCUGAAACAGGCCCCUUCUAUUGUCCUUGUGAUUACAGCUGCUGAAUGGAACUUGUUCUUUGGUUUCAUAAAGGAAAUGUUCACAGUGUUCCAUUUCAAAGUCAUGGAGAAAAAUAAAGAUACUUGGAACAGCU
Molecule: long non-coding RNA, 451 nt
Organism: Hemicordylus capensis (graceful crag lizard)
Lineage: Eukaryota; Metazoa; Chordata; Lepidosauria; Squamata; Cordylidae
Exons: 2
Source: RefSeq, a predicted model, not a curated record